This 495-nucleotide ribosomal RNA is filed under the name uncultured bacterium. RNAcentral's name for it is "partial 16S ribosomal RNA". It matches the Rfam family "Bacterial small subunit ribosomal RNA", at positions 28 to 507 of the family's 1533-position model. The record is from RNAcentral.
GACGAACGCUGGCGGCGUGCCUAAUACAUGCAAGUAGAACGCUGAAGGAGGAGCUUGCUUCUCUGGAUGAGUUGCGAACGGGUGAGUAACGCGUAGGUAACCUGCCUGGUAGCGGGGGAUAACUAAUGGAAACGAUAGCUAAUACCGCAUAAGAGUAGAUGUUGCAUGACAUUUGCUUAAAAGGUGCAAUUGCAUCACUACCAGAUGGACCUGCGUUGUAUUAGCUAGUUGGUGGGGUAACGGCUCACCAAGGCGACGAUACAUAGCCGACCUGGGAGGGUGGACGGCCACACCGGGAACUAGACACGGCCCAGACUCCUUCAGGAGGCAGCAGUAGGGAAUCUUCGGCAAUGGACGGAAGUCUGAACGAGCAACGCCGCGGGAGUGAAGAAGGUUUUCGGAUCGUAAAGCUCUGUUGUAAGAGAAGAACGAGAGUGAGAGUGGAAAGUUCACACUGUGACGGUAACUUACCAGAAAGGGACGGCUAACUACGUG